UACAGAGGGUGCGAGCGUUAAUCGGAGUUACUGGGCGUAAAGGGCGCGUAGGUGGUUAUGCAAGUAAGAUGUGAAAGCCCUGGGCUUAACCUAGGAAUUGCAUCUUAAACUGUGUGACUGGAGUGCAGUAGAGGAUAGUGGAAUUUCCGGUGUAGCGGUGAAAUGCGUAGAGAUCGGAAGGAACAUCAGUGGCGAAGGCGACUAUCUGGACUGCAACUGACACUGAGGCGCGAAAGCGUGGGGAGCAAACAGG
RNAcentral lists this non-coding RNA (253 nucleotides) under uncultured bacterium. RNAcentral's name for it is "partial 16S ribosomal RNA". It matches the Rfam family "Bacterial small subunit ribosomal RNA", at positions 524 to 776 of the family's 1533-position model. RNAcentral also lists the same sequence under 1 other name. The record is from RNAcentral.